This 512-nucleotide ribosomal RNA is filed under the name uncultured bacterium. RNAcentral describes it as "partial 16S ribosomal RNA". It matches the Rfam family "Bacterial small subunit ribosomal RNA", at positions 28 to 507 of the family's 1533-position model. The record is from RNAcentral.
GACGAACGCUGGCGGCGUGCCUAAUACAUGCAAGUCGAGCGAGCGGAACUAACAGAUUUACUUCGGUAAUGACGUUAGGAAAGCGAGCGGCGGAUGGGUGAGUAACACGUGGGGAACCUGCCCCAUAGUCUGGGAUACCACUUGGAAACAGGUGCUAAUACCGGAUAAGAAAGCAGAUCGCAUGAUCAGCUUUUAAAAGGCGGCGUAAGCUGUCGCUAUGGGAUGGCCCCGCGGUGCAUUAGCUAGUUGGUAAGGUAAAGGCUUACCAAGGCGAUGAUGCAUAGCCGAGUUGAGAGACUGAUCGGCCACAUUGGGACUGAGACACGGCCCAAACUCCUACGGGAGGCAGCAGUAGGGAAUCUUCCACAAUGGACGCAAGUCUGAUGGAGCGACGCCGCGUGAGUGAAGAAGGUUUUCGGAUCGUAAAGCUCUGUUGUUGGUGAAGAAGGAUAGAGGUAGUAACUGGCCUUUAUUUGACGGUAAUCAACCAGAAAGUCACGGCUAACUACGUG